This is a non-coding RNA of Myotis lucifugus (little brown bat), 429 nucleotides long. The record is from the annotation of a RefSeq genome assembly. NCBI's taxonomy places the organism in Eukaryota, Metazoa, Chordata, Mammalia, Chiroptera, Vespertilionidae.
AUGGCCAGUCUUGUCCUGCCUGAAUCUUCCAGUGGCAAUUGGCUCCUCUGCUGUGUGGCCCUCUGCCUUCUGGGGGCAGGUUCCGUAGCUGCUGGAGUCACCCAGUUCCCAAGACACAUAAUCAAAGUCCAAGGGGGGGAGGCUGUUCUGAAGUGUCAUCCCAUCACCGGACAUAAUACGGUGUAUUGGUACCAGCAGGCUUUGAGCCAGAGCCCCGAGUUCCUCAUUAGUUUUUAUGAAAAGCAGGAGGAACAGAAAGGAAACAUCCCAGAUCGGUUCUCAGGAAAACAGUUCAAUAACUACAGCUCUGAGCUGGCCAUGAGCACCUUGCAGCUGGGAGACUCAGCUGUGUAUCUCUGUGCCAGCAGCUUAGACACAGCCCUGCAGGGUCAAUGGCUUUCUGUAUUCAAACCUCCCUGCCCCAGCUGA